AUUUUUCUAGUAUAUAAGUAUAUUUAACUUCCAAUUAAAAGGUCUAAUUUAAUAGGAAAAAUA
RNAcentral lists this transfer RNA (63 nucleotides) under Philagra albinotata. Its description in RNAcentral is "tRNA-Gly". Lineage: Eukaryota; Metazoa; Arthropoda; Insecta; Hemiptera; Aphrophoridae. The record is from RNAcentral.